Molecule: unclassified non-coding RNA, 179 nt
Filed under: plant metagenome
Description: partial contains small subunit ribosomal RNA and internal transcribed spacer 1
Rfam family: Eukaryotic small subunit ribosomal RNA (bases 1-46)
Source: RNAcentral
AAGUCGUAACAAGGUUUCCGUAGGUGAACCUGCGGAAGGAUCAUUAAAAAAGGGUCGCAAGACCCAUUUUAAAACCUACCACGCCUGUCUAUGGGUGAUAUGGAGGAGGUAUGGUUUUUAAAAUCCAAUUAUUAUAAAUAUAUAUAUCGUCUAACGACGAAAUAAAAAAAUUAUAAAAA